This 515-nucleotide ribosomal RNA is filed under the name uncultured bacterium. RNAcentral's name for it is "partial 16S ribosomal RNA". It matches the Rfam family "Bacterial small subunit ribosomal RNA", at positions 28 to 523 of the family's 1533-position model. The record is from RNAcentral.
GACGAACGCUGGCGGCGUGCCUAAUACAUGCAAGUCGAGCGGACUUUCAAGAAGCUUGCUUUUUGAAAGUUAGCGGCGGACGGGUGAAUAACACGUGGGCAACCUGCCUGUAAGACGGGGAUAGCUCCGGGAAACCGGGGCUAAUACCGGAUAAUAUCUUUCUUCGCAUGAAGGAAGGUUGAAAGGCGGCGCAAGCUGCCGCUUGCAGAUGGGCCCGCGGCGCAUUAGCUAGUUGGUGAGGUAACGGCUCACCAAGGCGACGAUGCGUAGCCGACCUGGGAGGGUGAUCGGCCACACUGGGACUGAGACACGGCCCAGACUCCUACGGGAGGCAGCAGUAGGGAAUCUCCCGCAAUGGACGUAAGUCUGACGGAGCAACGCCGCGUGAGCGAAGAAGGUCUUCGGAUCGUAAAGCUCUGUUGUCAGGGAAGAACAAGUACCGUUCGAAUAGGGCGGUACCUUGACGGUACCUGACCAGAAAGCCACGGCUAACUACGUGCCAGCCGCCGCAGUAA